UCCCACAUUCCGCGGAGCGGCUCGGCCCGUGAGCCAUGGCCGCUGAGCCUGCGCGUCCGGAGCCUGUGCUCCGCAACGGCAGGAGCCACGGCAGUGAGAGGCCCGCGUACCGCAAAACAACAACAAAAAAAAAACGUUCACUGGUUGUUAAAAGGAAAAGCUCUCCUUAUCGUCAGAAUCGCUGUUUGAAAGCUUCAGAUCUUCUGGGAAGCAAUGGAGGUCAAUAAUGUUCAUCAAGCCUGGCUCAAGUUCUAAGGGCUGCAUGUUCGGCUGAGGUCUCAGUGCUACAGGAGCGAGAUGCGGGAGUAGGUGGCUGUCUGUUCCACCCGGCCUUAUCGCCCGACCCCUCCUCCCUUCCGCGCGCCCGCCCCUGCGCAGAGCUUUUUACUGCCAGGGCCCCACCCUCCCGCAAGGGGUGGCCUCCCAGCACCUGAGCCCGGGGGUGAAACUGUGACCCUCAGCAGCCUCUUCUGUUACAGGCGGGUGAGGCCCAGGGGCUCCCCAUUUGGGUCAGUUACACCCAUCUGGAAGCAUCUGGUCAGCAUUUGGGAAUGGCUUAAACAGUAACUGUACAAUUAAAGGCACUAGGAAGCAUUGGGAUGGAAACCAAGAAUUGCCAGUCUAGUUACCACAUACAAAUGUACCAAAUUUCUGACACUGCAGAAAUACAAAGGAUCAUGAGAGAUUACUACAAGGAACUCUAUGCCAAUAAAAUGGACAACCUGGAAAAAAUGGACAAAUUCUUAGAAAAGAACAACCUUCCGACACUGAACCAAGAAAAAAUAGAAAAUAUAAACAGACCAAUCACAAGCACUAAAAUUGAGACUGUGAUUAAAAAUCUUCCAACAAACAAAAGCCCAGGACCAGAUGGCUUCAAAGGUGAAUUCUAUCAAACAUUUAGAGAAGAGCUAACACCUAUCCUUCCCACUCUUCCAAAAUAUAGCAGAGGGAGGAACACUUUCCAACUAAUUCUACGAGGCCACCAUCACCCUGAUACCAAAAACAAAGAUGUCACAAAGAAAGAAAACUAUAGGCCAAUAUCACUGAUGAACAUAGAUGCAAAAAUCCUCAACAAAAUACUAGCAAACAGAAUCCAA
Long non-coding RNA from Physeter macrocephalus (sperm whale), 1097 nucleotides. RefSeq lists it as uncharacterized. NCBI's taxonomy places the organism in Eukaryota, Metazoa, Chordata, Mammalia, Artiodactyla, Physeteridae. The transcript has 3 exons. The record is from RefSeq and is a predicted model, not a curated record.